UACAGAGGGUGCUAGCGUUAAUCGGAAUUACUGGGCGUAAAGCGUGUGUAGGUGGUUAGAUAAGUUAGAUGUGAAAUCCCCGGGCUUAACCUGGGCAUUGCGUUUAAGACUGUUUAGCUAGAGUACUGUAGAGGAUAGUGGAAUUUCCAGUGUAGCGGUGAAAUGCGUAGAUAUUGGAAGGAACACCAGUGGCGAAGGCGACUAUCUGGACAGAUACUGACACUGAGACACGAAAGCGUGGGGAGCAAACAGG
RNAcentral lists this ribosomal RNA (253 nucleotides) under uncultured bacterium. Its description in RNAcentral is "partial 16S ribosomal RNA". It matches the Rfam family "Bacterial small subunit ribosomal RNA", at positions 524 to 776 of the family's 1533-position model. The record is from RNAcentral.